Molecule: long non-coding RNA, 546 nt
Organism: Pungitius pungitius (ninespine stickleback)
Lineage: Eukaryota; Metazoa; Chordata; Actinopteri; Perciformes; Gasterosteidae
Exons: 3
Source: RefSeq, a predicted model, not a curated record
ACAAACAACGAAAUUAAGUUUACUCCUUUUGGAAUUGCCUUUGGAAACAUUGAUUCAUGUGGACACAGUAGUAAUUAGUUUGUUAACAAUUUGUUGUAGUAAUUAAAACAAGAUUAUCUCAAGGUACAUGCGUGGAAACCAUUUCGAUUGAAGGCAUUCGCUGAAGAAAGGUCCAGAAGAGCAAAAAACAAAAGACUACAACGACGGCGUGUGCUAGCAGCCGAUUUGCGCACCUGCAGGAGAAACUGACCACACCUUGAUUACAACACGAAACCAGACGACGCGAUGAGUCACUGCGGCUGGGAAUCGAUGCCCAUCAGAGGAGCAGCUCACGCGAAUUACACGUGUAUUGUUCGUGUGACUGCAUCGUGUAUCUGACAAUAGUUGCAUUGGAGGUGUUUGUGUGGAGGAAAAGAAAACGAGGCAUUAAUAGGAAAUUCCUAUGACAUGAACAGAAGAUAGAUACAGGUGACUUUUGUUGCAUUUUAACCGACUGUGUUAUGAAAUGUAAAAUCAGUGGAAUCAUACAAAUAAAAGACAACAUUU